UUAAAGACGAUGACGUUGAUAGGCCGGGUGUGUAAGCGCAGCGAUGCGUUGAGCUAACCGGUACUAAUGAACCGUGAGGCUUAACCUU
RNAcentral lists this ribosomal RNA (88 nucleotides) under Klebsiella pneumoniae. RNAcentral's name for it is "partial 23S ribosomal RNA". It matches the Rfam family "Bacterial large subunit ribosomal RNA", at positions 2838 to 2925 of the family's 2925-position model. RNAcentral also lists the same sequence under 10 other names. The record is from RNAcentral. Lineage: Bacteria; Pseudomonadati; Pseudomonadota; Gammaproteobacteria; Enterobacterales; Enterobacteriaceae.